GAUGACAUGAUCAGGAGAUGGUGGUGUUCUGUUCUCCUGGACAGCUUUACUCCGCAAAUAGCUCAACCACUGAGGGGAGGAACUUCACCAUUCACCAUGUCUUCAGGCAGAGUCCAGCAAAGCAGCUUCCACUGGAAAUCCUCAGGGAAGUUAUUUUGUCAGCGGGUGACUCUGCAUAUUUGACUCUUUCUCUGGUUUGCAGAUGGUUUAGGGAUGUGCUCCGAAGUUUUUCGGAAAGCGGCACAGUUUGCCUGGCUAGAGAUUGUGGCCAACUGGAAGAAUUGUCCUCCUGUCUCCUGACCGGAACGAGUUUAGACGGAUGUACAGCAUCAGGGAAUGCUUGCAGUGCAGAGCCCUUUUCAAGUUUAACCCACCAGGGUACAGGGAAGAGACCGGCGUGGUGAUCUUCUGGGCUUUUGUUUACACAGGAUUUUGUUCCAAGGACUUUUUUUUUUUUUUUUUUUUUUUUGCGGCAUGAAACACCUUUGUGUGUUAAGUUCAUUGAAGGGAAAUAGAGAAUGGGCUGAGAUCAACUGGUUUUGAUUAUUAAUUGAUGUAAUUUAAAGUUAAACUUUGCACUGUAUAAUGUUUUAAUAAAAAAGCUAUGGAAAACACGUGCAUGACAACAGGUUUCAGUCAUUUACAUCAGUCUAUCAUUCUUUAAGGUUUCUCAUAUUUGAUGAUAACAUGAUUUGCUAGCAUUGCUCAUAAUGGAUUCUUAGUUUAGUUGUGACAGGAUUGUGAGGAUUAAUGAGGUUUUCAGUAGUGCAGUUCAGAAAACAAAUAACAGAAAGUAACAAGUGUUUUUGGGCAAGUUCUUUAGAACCUGUAUAGUUCCUUCCUUGCAAAAAGUAACCAUGGAUUUAUUGUAGUAAAAAUAUUUGUUGGCACAUUAAUUACUGUGAGCUGUAAUUAUAAAAACACCAUAGUUUUACUAUAGUUACUGUAGCAGAACCAUAGUAAAUUUUCGUAGGGGCCAAGGGAAUGUUCAGAAUAUUAUUGGUGACGUUCACAGACUGGUGACAAUUUGUUACACACACGACACACACACACACACACACAUAUAUAUGUAUGUAUAUAUUAUUUGAAUAUAUAAAUCAAGGUACUCCAUGACUAUCUACGUAACCAUACUUCGCAUAAUAUUGCCGUGUCAUUUUCAAACCAGCGAGUAAUGCCGAGGUAGCGUCUACACUACAGCCAUUGAGGGAGUAGACCAUUUAUUUUUAUUCUGUUCGUCGUAAUCCAAAACUCUUUGUAUUUAUACGGGAUGUUGUGGAAAUGCAACAAUAAAUGCAAAAACACAACAUGUAUAUUCACUUUUUAAUUUUAUUAAAAGUUUAUUCAUCUUAGUGUCUACUUCCGCAUUCCAAUCCUGCUAAUAGCGUCAUAAUUCUCUAUACCAAUAAGCUGUAAAAUCGUCACUCAUCUGUACACCAAUAAGCUCAUCUUAAUCAUAAACCAAUAACCGCUGAGGUGGGCGGGGCGACACGUGUCGCUCCGCCCCAACGUGUCGCCCCGCCCCAUCGUCCAGACUGCACUCUGGGAUACUUGGUAUGCACAGCGCUUCGACGCUGGGUUUAGCGUUGCCCUUCAGAUACAACGCGAUUUGCGCUGCUCUGCGCUAUGGCGUAGGCGGAGUUUUAAAAACUUUUAGCGGGAGCUCUUUCAUAGUCUGUUGUUCCUCUUUUCGGUCAGCAGCAAACAUGUAUCUGUCCCGUUGUAAGAAGCGAGCGAUAGCGCUAGUCCUGCUGAUGAGAAUUAAGAGAGAAGCAAGGAAGAAGAGGCUACCCUCAGGCCCAGGGAACAAUUUG
This 1811-nucleotide long non-coding RNA is filed under the name Carassius auratus (goldfish). RNAcentral's name for it is "lncRNA (ENSCARG00000050858.1)". The record is from RNAcentral. Lineage: Eukaryota; Metazoa; Chordata; Actinopteri; Cypriniformes; Cyprinidae.